This is a non-coding RNA of Notechis scutatus (mainland tiger snake), 647 nucleotides long. Lineage: Eukaryota; Metazoa; Chordata; Lepidosauria; Squamata; Elapidae. The record is from RefSeq and is a predicted model, not a curated record.
CUCAGAUCACGUGACUCGGGGGGUGUUGCAGCCCUCAUGAAUAAUGCAUACCGGUUGCUAAGCGCCCGGAUUUGAAUGACGUGGCUGGGAGGAUAUUGCGAACGUAAGUGCGAGGAGUGGACGGAGGGUCCGGGCUGGCGGGCGCCCGAUGCAGGAGGACGGACGAGCCCUGCGGAGGAAGAAAGCGCCGCCCGAGAGGAGGGGAGCGGCCUCGCGGAGCUGCCCUGCCCACCUCAGGAGGCGGCGGCGGGAAGAAAAUCCCGGGCGCUGCACGGCUGCAGAAGAGCCGUCCGCAAACCGGGAUGAGGCGGAGCCGAAAAGGACCCCGUGAAAGGGCGAUACCCGGAGGGAGAAGCGGAGAGAAGGAGGGAAAGGCGGGGACAAGCGGAGCCCGCGAGACGCUCCCGGAGCGCGGAGAGUCCUUCAGCACAGACGGAAAACGCGGGAAUCCCCGAAGAAGAAGAACCCAAAACCAGGGAGAAAAGAAAAACGAAUGUAUAGAAUGUGGAAGAUCCUUCAAAACAAAUCAGCAGCUUCAAAACCAUCUGAGAACCCAUUCAGGAGAAAAACCAUAUCAGUGCCUGGAGUGUGGAAGGAGCUUCGCUGUGAGGGGAACUCUUUAUUAUCAUCAAAGAAUUCACACUGGA